This 300-nucleotide ribosomal RNA is filed under the name uncultured Yersinia sp. RNAcentral's name for it is "bacterial SSU rRNA". The stretch from base 58 to 300 matches the Rfam family "Bacterial small subunit ribosomal RNA", at positions 552 to 795 of the family's 1533-position model. Lineage: Bacteria; Pseudomonadati; Pseudomonadota; Gammaproteobacteria; Enterobacterales; Yersiniaceae. The record is from RNAcentral.
GGUGGACGUGCUGGCGGGGGCCGCGUGUGUACGGAGGCAGGAAGGGUUGGUGGGAGGUACUGGGCGGAAAGGGUGUGUAGGCGGUGGCUUAAGGUUGGUGUGAAAGCUCCGGGCUAAACUGGGAGGGUGCGCCGAAUACUGAGUGACUCGAGUGCGGGAGAGGAGAGUGGAAUUCCUGGUGUAGCGGUGAAAUGCGUAGAUAUCAGGAGGAACACCGGUGGUGUAGACGGCUCUCUGGACCGUAACUGACGCUGAAACACGAAAGCGUGGGUAGCAAACAGGAUUAGAUACCCCGGAGUC